Molecule: ribosomal RNA, 520 nt
Filed under: uncultured Glomus
Lineage: Eukaryota; Fungi; Glomeromycota; Glomeromycetes; Glomerales; Glomeraceae
Description: SSU rRNA
Rfam family: Eukaryotic small subunit ribosomal RNA
Source: RNAcentral
AGCAGCCGCGGUAAUUCCAGCUCCAAUAGCGUAUAUUAAAGUUGUUGCAGUUAAAAGCUCGUAGUUGAAUUUCGGGGUUAGUAGGUUGGUCAUGCCUCUGGUAUGUACUGGUCUCACUGAUUCCUCCUUCCUGAUGAACCUUAAUGCCAUUAAUUUGGUGUUUUGGGGAAUUUGGACUGUUACUUUGAAAAAUUAGAGUGUUUAAAGCAAGCUAACGCUUGAAUACAUUAGCAUGGAAUAAUGAAAUAGGACGUUCGAUCCUAUUUUGUUGGUUUCUAGGAUUGACGUAAUGAUUAAUAGGGAUAGUUGGGGGCAUUAGUAUUCAAUUGUCAGAGGUGAAAUUUCUUGGAUUUUAUUGAAGACUAACUACUGCGAAAGCAUUUUGCCAAGGAUGUUUUUCAUUAAUCAAGAACGAAAGUUUAGGGGAUUCGAAGACGAUCAGAUACCGUCGUAGUCUUAAACCCAUAAAACUAUGCCCGACUAGGAUCGGAUGAUGUAAUUUUUAAACUGACUCAUCGGC